UACGAGGGGGGCAAAUGUUGUUCGGAAUCACUGGGCGUAAAGGGAGCGUAGGCGGGUUCUUAAGUUAGGUGUUUAAUCCCGGGGCCCAACCCCGGACCGGCACUUAAAACUGGGAAUCUUGAAUAGUGGAGAGGUCAGUGGAAUUGGGGGUGUAGCGGUGGAAUGCGUAGAGAUCCCCAAGAACACCAGUUGCGAAGGCGGCUGACUGGACACAUAUUGACGCUGAGGCACGAAAGCGUGGGGAGCAAACAGG
RNAcentral lists this ribosomal RNA (253 nucleotides) under uncultured bacterium. Its description in RNAcentral is "partial 16S ribosomal RNA". It matches the Rfam family "Bacterial small subunit ribosomal RNA", at positions 524 to 776 of the family's 1533-position model. The record is from RNAcentral.